This 429-nucleotide ribosomal RNA is filed under the name Pseudomonadota bacterium. RNAcentral describes it as "Proteobacteria bacterium partial 16S ribosomal RNA". It matches the Rfam family "Bacterial small subunit ribosomal RNA", at positions 355 to 776 of the family's 1533-position model. Lineage: Bacteria; Pseudomonadati; Pseudomonadota. The record is from RNAcentral.
UGGGGAAUAUUGGACAAUGGGCGAAAGCCUGAUCCAGCCAUGCCGCGGGUGUGAAGAAGGUCUUCGGAUUGUAAAGCACUUUAAGCUGGGAGGAAGGGCAGUAAGCGAAUACCUUGCUGUUUUGACGUUACCGACAGAAUAAGCACCGGCUAACUCUGUGCCAGCAGCCGCGGUAAUACAGAGGGUGCAAGCGUUAAUCGGAAUUACUGGGCGUAAAGCGCGCGUAGGUGGUUCGUUAAGUUGAAUGUGAAAGCCCCGGGCUCAACCUGGGAAGUGCAUCCAAAACUGGCGGGCUAGAGUAGGGCAGAGGGGAGUGGAAUUUCCUGUGUAGCGGUGAAAUGCGUAGAUAUAGGAAGGAACACCAGUGGCGAAGGCGACCACCUGGGCUCAUACUGACACUGAGGUGCGAAAGCGUGGGGAGCAAACAGG